This is a long non-coding RNA of Glycine soja, 410 nucleotides long. RefSeq lists it as uncharacterized. NCBI's taxonomy places the organism in Eukaryota, Viridiplantae, Streptophyta, Magnoliopsida, Fabales, Fabaceae. The transcript is spliced from 3 exons. The record is from RefSeq and is a predicted model, not a curated record.
UAUCUAUGAUGGUCUAUUCUUCUGUCCUUAGAUGCCAUGAUAUGUGUUUAUGACUCCCUGGUCCCUUCAAAACUAGAGUUCACCCAUCUGAAAACAAAUCAUGACCAGCUACUUUGUGGAUACAUGCGUUUCAAAAGAAGUGGAUAUGUUCAUUUCACACUCAAUGUCUCAGAACAUCAGCCAACGUUAUGUGCUUGUGCAAAUUCUGGCUCAAAACAAUAAUGGCCAUGGCGGUUCACCAACUCUCUUCACUUGGAUUGAAGUUUCCAAUGUCACCUUUUAGCAUUCCAUGUUUAAUUUAAUGCGCAUCACCAUUCAACAUGUUGAAUUAUGCAAGCUGAAUUAAGUAUGGUUUGUGUUAAUGAAUUGUCUGUACUUUUUAUACAUUAUUUAAUUUUUAUAUUACACAA